Molecule: ribosomal RNA, 301 nt
Filed under: uncultured bacterium
Lineage: Bacteria
Description: partial 16S ribosomal RNA
Rfam family: Bacterial small subunit ribosomal RNA
Source: RNAcentral
CAGCAGCCACGGUAACACGUAGGUGGCAAGCGUUGUUCGGAGUUAUUGGGCGUAAAGGGCUCGCAGGCGGUUUCUUAAGUCUGAUGUGAAAGCCCCCGGCUCAACCGGGGAGGAUCAUUGGAAACUGGGAAACUUGAGUGCAGAAGAGGAGAGUGGAAUUCCACGUGUAGCGGUGAAAUGCGUAGAGAUAUGGAGGAACACCAGUGGCGAAGGCGACUCUCUGGUCUGUAACUGACGCUGAGGAGCGAAAGCGUGGGGAGCGAACAGGAUUAGAUACCCCAGUAGUCCCUGUCUCUUAUAA